GACGUAGGAUGCGAGCGUUGUCCGGAUUCAUUGGGCGUAAAGAGCACGCAGGCGGUUUUGCAAGUCGGACGUGAAAAUCCGGGGCUCAACCCCGGACCUGCAUCCGAAACUGCCCGACUAGAGGUAGGUAGGGGAGAUCGGAAUUCCUGGUGUAGCGGUGAAAUGCGCAGAUAUCAGGAGGAACACCGGUGGCGAAGGCGGAUCUCUGGGCCUGACCUGACGCUCAGGUGCGAAAGCUAGGGGAGCGAACAGG
RNAcentral lists this ribosomal RNA (253 nucleotides) under uncultured bacterium. RNAcentral's name for it is "partial 16S ribosomal RNA". It matches the Rfam family "Bacterial small subunit ribosomal RNA", at positions 524 to 776 of the family's 1533-position model. The record is from RNAcentral.